CAUCAAAGUGAAGGUUAAAUUCAAUGAGAUGGGUUUGACAUUUAGUUUUGAAUUUAUGGACCUUUUGUAGAGUAUAUAUUAAGCACAGCGUGAAAAAAUAAUGUAAACCUUUUGCAAAACAGCUCUUGACGUCAGAGAAAUUUACUCCUUUAAUCAUUUCACACGAUACCCCCCAAAAACCUAAAAAUGAUUAGAAUCGUCUUGUUUCUUUUUCUACUUUCGUUCCUGGAAGUUUCCGGAGCUGACGAUACCAAGAAACCUUGUUAUGAGUGUACCCUGAUGUUCCGGGAAUGUCAUGCAUACUAUGACUGUGCAGGGCGACCUCGUGAUGCGACAAAAUGUCGGGCUUUCUGUAACGACCAGUACACGAGAUGUAUGGAUCUGUGCAAAUCUAAAAGAUAUUGAAUAUAUCAUGUAUAAACAUGCAUGUAGUUCUUUUUUUUGUAAAAAAGAAAAUGUAUACUGAAUAUCCAUUAAAGCAAUAAAAUCUUGCAAGCUGCCCAAAACAUUUCGUGUAUCAUUUCUGUACAGUUAAAACAUGUGAUUGCU
Molecule: long non-coding RNA, 549 nt
Organism: Magallana angulata
Lineage: Eukaryota; Metazoa; Mollusca; Bivalvia; Ostreida; Ostreidae
Exons: 2
Source: RefSeq, a predicted model, not a curated record